UACGAAGGGGGCUAGCGUUGCUCGGAAUCACUGGGCGUAAAGCGCACGUAGGCGGCUUGUUAAGUCAGGGGUGAAAUCCUGGAGCUCAACUCCAGAACUGCCUUUGAUACUGGCAAGCUUGGAGUCCGGGAGAGGUGAGUGGAACUGCGAGUGUAGAGGUGAAAUUCGUAGAUAUUCGCAAGAACACCAGUGGCGAAGGCGGCUCACUGGCCCGGUACUGACGCUGAGACACGAAGGCCAGGGGAGCAAACGGG
Molecule: ribosomal RNA, 254 nt
Filed under: uncultured bacterium
Lineage: Bacteria
Description: partial 16S ribosomal RNA
Rfam family: Bacterial small subunit ribosomal RNA
Source: RNAcentral